Molecule: ribosomal RNA, 549 nt
Filed under: Salmonella enterica
Lineage: Bacteria; Pseudomonadati; Pseudomonadota; Gammaproteobacteria; Enterobacterales; Enterobacteriaceae
Description: partial 23S ribosomal RNA
Rfam family: Bacterial large subunit ribosomal RNA
Source: RNAcentral
GGGUUGUGAGGUUAAGCGACCAAGCGUACACGGUGGAUGCCCUGGCAGUCAGAGGCGAUGAAGGGCGUGCUAAUCUGCGAUAAGCGCCGGUAAGGUGAUAUGAACCGUUAUAACCGGCGAUACCCGAAUGGGGAAACCCAGUGUGUUUCGACACACUAUCAUUAACUGAAUCCAUAGGUUAAUGAGGCGAACCGGGGGAACUGAAACAUCUAAGUACCCCGAGGAAAAGAAAUCAACCGAGAUUCCCCCAGUAGCGGCGAGCGAACGGGGAGGAGCCCAGAGCCUGAAUCAGCAUGUGUGUUAGUGGAAGCGUCUGGAAAGGCGCGCGAUACAGGGUGACAGCCCCGUACACAAAAGCGCACGUACUGUGAGCUCGAUGAGUAGGGCGGGACACGUGGUAUCCUGUCUGAAUAUGGGGGGACCAUCCUCCAAGGCUAAAUACUCCUGACUGACCGAUAGUGAACCAGUACCGUGAGGGAAAGGCGAAAAGAACCCCGGCGAGGGGAGUGAAACAGAACCUGAAACCGUGUACGUACAAGCAGUGGGAGC